CGGCGGCGGCGGCGGCGGCGACCCGGGGCCGCGGCGGAUCGCGGGAAUUUGGCGCCUACGUUUGGAGUCUGGCUGUUCUCGCCUGUGAUUGGGCCCCGUCUGCGGCUGCUCCGUCGACCUCGGCAGAAAGCGUUCGGCUCGGUGCUCGGCUGGCCUCCGGGGCAUGGGCCACCAGGAGCCCCCGCUGGCCCGAGCGCCCGCCGAAGGCGCGCCUUAUGUAAAGCGGUUAUGUAAAGGGCUCAGCUGGCGCGAGCGCGUGCGGAGCCGCGGGAGCCCGGACGCCGGGUUCUCCCCCGCGCGCGCCGCGGCAACCUCCGGGGCCGCACCAGGUUCCGGCGCACGCCCGGCGCGGGCCGUCGGCUCCCGCGCGGCUCGGUACCUAAGGCAGCCCCGGCUGGGAGCGCACCAUCCCCAGCCCGAGACUCCUGGGGGGAAACCCGCCGUCCGGAAGUGGAGGGGCUCCGGCCAGGUCACAACCCAAGCACCCGCUCCUCUGCGUCCCGGGGCCGGACGGAGGGAUGAGGCAGGGGGGGGCCGGGCAGCGCCGUUGCUGCUCCCCCCGCCGCCCGCAGCCAUGGAAACGGGGGAGGCGGACGGCGCCCGCCGAGGUACACAAAGCCCCGAGAGGAAAAGGCGAAGCCCAGUGCCGCGGGCGCCCAGCGCGAAGCUGAGGCCAGUGGCUGCGGCCCAGGCCAUGGAUCCGGUGGCGGCCGAAGCCCCCGGCGAGGCCUACCUGGCUCGGCGGCGGCCCGAGGGUGGCGGCGGGUCCGCGCAGCCGCGCUACAGCCUGGUGGCCGAGAUCGGGCGCGGCAGCUACGGCGUGGUUUACGAGGCCGUGGCCGGGCGCAGCGGGGCCCGGGUGGCGGUCAAGAAGAUCCGCUGCGACGCCCCGGAAAACGUGGAGCUGGCGCUGGCGGAGUUCUGGGCCCUGACCAGCCUCAAGCGGCGCCACCAGAACGUGGUGCAGUUUGAGGAGUGUGUCCUGCAGCGCAACGGCCUAGCCCAGCGCAUGAGCCAUGGCAACAAGAACUCGCAGCUUUACCUGCGCCUGGUGGAGACCUCGCUCAAAGGAGAAAGGAUCCUGGGUUAUGCUGAGGAGCCCUGUUAUCUCUGGUUUGUCAUGGAGUUCUGUGAAGGUGGAGACCUGAAUCAGUACGUCCUGUCCCGGAGGCCGGACCCAGCCACCAACAAAAGCUUCAUGCUACAGCUCACAAGCGCCAUUGCCUUCCUGCACAAAAACCACAUCGUGCACAGGGACCUAAAGCCAGACAACAUCCUUAUCACGGAGAGGUCUGGCACCCCCAUCCUCAAGGUGGCAGACUUUGGACUAAGCAAGGUCUGUGCUGGGCUAGCCCCCCGAGGCAAAGAGGGUAAUCAGAACAACAAAAAUGUGAAUGUGAAUAAAUACUGGCUGUCCUCAGCCUGCGGCUCAGACUUCUACAUGGCCCCUGAAGUCUGGGAGGGACACUACACAGCCAAGGCUGACAUCUUUGCCCUGGGCAUUAUCAUCUGGGCAAUGAUAGAAAGAAUCACUUUCAUUGACUCUGAGACCAAGAAGGAGCUCCUGGGGACCUAUAUCAAACAGGGGACCGAGAUCGUCCCUGUUGGUGAGGCGCUGCUAGAAAAUCCAAAGAUGGAGUUGCACAUCCCCCAGAAACGCAGGACUUCCAUGUCUGAGGGGAUCAAGCAGCUCUUGAAAGAUAUGUUAGCUGCUAACCCACAGGACCGGCCUGAUGCCUUUGAACUUGAAACCAGAAUGGACCAGGUCACAUGUGCUGCUUAAAAUUCAGGGCAAAGCAUCUUGGUUGUUUUUAAACUAGACCUGAAACCUCUGACCUUCUUGAGCCCCCGCCUGUUAAGUGGAAGUCCCAGCCCUGCCUUUCUCACUAGACUUCAUGAUGCUGUGCAUGAGUGGAGGGGUUGUGAGUGAAGAUCCAGAGGGUUUGAAAGCUGAACCUUCACUGUGAAGACCUGACAUUCCUAGGAACUAGUAUCCGAGACAUCUGGGGCCUGGUCUGUCUACUGGUGUUUUCUGAGUGUUCCCCCACAUGGGGAAGGCUGGUGUUUGCAAGGUUGAUCCCCGGGACCCACAGUCUCGUCAAGUCUCACAGAGGACGGCAGAGGGUACAGGUGCCCGGCCAGCGGCCAUCUCCCGACAGCUGGAGCUCCAGCAAUGUGAAGCUUUGUUUGCAUUUUCUCCCUUCAGUUUGUUUAAAAUUUUUUGUCUUUUUUUUUUUUUUUUUUUAAUUUAAACGAUUUAAGACUUCAAAAGAGCAGAAGCUCUGCUGUGGACAGGCACCAGUUUCUUUAAAGAAAUUUAAUAUGGACAAAGCAUUUGUGUAAAUUUCAUCUUUAAUUUUUAUAAGGGGUUAGGGCACUAUUUCAUUUUUGUUCUUGCUUUUCCCUGUCUUUCUUUUACCCAUUUCUCAGUUCUGCUUAUAACACCUCACUUCCCCCAGAGGAGGCCCCUCUCCGUGGCGAUGGGGGCAUUUCUCCUGGAACAGAAUGGAGACAGGAGGAGGCCCCUGGGCCACCUUCCCACCAGGCGCAGGAACUGCCGACCCCGAGCUGCUCCCGGCCAGCUCUUGGCCUUGGGUAAAGAUCUGCCUGGAGGAGGAAGACCAGCGUUUGCCCGGGAGAACUCACAAAAGCAGCUCCCACCCGGGGGUGUGUGCUCUUUAAGCUGUGGAAGCCCCGGCCACACCAGGACUGACGGUGGUGGGACUCCAUUCCCCCCACUGCCCUCGGUGACCGAGAUCUCUGAAGGGGCGGGGGACGGGACAGAAGUGAUCAUCUCCCACUUCCUGGCGGCUGUGCGAUCAGCCCACCCCAACUCUACACGCCUACGUUUCUGUUAGUGUUCUUCCUCCCAGCAGAAGAUCCCCAGGAAGAAACGGUCAUGCCAAACCUCUGCCCAGGUUGUCACGGAGACCGCCUGAGUCCCUGCAAUCCUGCCGUGAGCAUUGCCAUAGAACAGGGUGCCCUGGACUGGCUGUCGCUGCACUGAAGGGUGUGCCCUGUGUGCCGGGACCCCUGGUAUCACUUAUGGUAACAGUGUCGUGCCAUCUCCCUCACCCCAGGGGCACACUGUUACUUGUAAAUGUGUCUGACUGGAAAAGGAUGGAGCAGGCGAGAGGAGGCAGGUGACUGGGCAGACCCCUGCAGCCUUUAGGUGCCUGUUUGUGGGUUUGCCACCUAGAGAUUCCCCGGCUGUGGAGCCCUCCCACAGGGUCAGUGUAGCUGCUCUUCCGCUCUCCACAGCACUCACAGCCCCUCUCCACAGGCUUCUGAACCUGGCAUUGUCCCCCGCAUCCCCCUUUCCCUCCCCAGCUCCCGGCAGGACAGAGGAACCCUCCUGUGCUGGCCCCCUGUGUCACCUGGGCGCUGCUUUAGCUAAUCCAGAAGCUCUUCACCCUGUGACAGCCAAGCAGGAAAGGGCCUUUGGGGAGGGGGAAGGAAUUCCUCUUUUGUGUUUAUUUUUGGUUUUUGUCUUCUCUCAGCCAGCAUAGGAUCAGUAGGGGAGAUCACUGGAGGGCCUUUCAGUUCUGUGUGACCAAGGGGGCCUUCCCCACAGCAGCCCUGGUCCUGCAGCUCUGGGCGUUUGGGAGAGGCUAGCGCGGUGUCAGCCCAAGCUUGACAAUAUGUUUGCUCACAUUCUUUCUGCCUUUUCUCAAGCUCCUCGGAUACCAAGGCUCCUUCCUCCUGGGCAGACAGCUGGCUGUGGUUAGCAGGACCAGCAGGGCUGCAGGUGGUAACCAGGCCCUUCCAUUCCUUGGCUGAAAUCCUUUGUGAUCGCCUGUCUCAUCACUUCUCUGGUGCCCUGUGUGUGCUCUAGGCUGCACCUGGAAGGUUGGGAGCCCAGCAUCCCCUAUUGCAGUGCACACUCCUGCCCCACCCCCUGCCUUCCCUGCAGCCAGCUGUCUCUGCACAUGAGCGAAUGAGAAAAACAGUCCCCAAACUCAGCAGCCCCCUCUCCCUGCUGCAGCUGGGGUUCUGAAGUCCCCAGUGAGGGCUCAAGCCUAACAAGUUAUUUGCCUUUUGCUUGUCUUUUUCUUUUGCCCUCCCCAGCCUCUUAGCUUUGAGUAGGUCUUGGAGCUGCAGUGCACCCCCCUUUGUUAUUUUUCCUGGCGCCAGGGUAUCCCCUAUAGACAACGGGAUGUCCGUAACUUUUGGGUAAGGUGGGCAGCCUGGGUAGCCAGCUUCCAUGUACCCUUCCUUGUAGGGCUCCCAGCCCUCCUGGCUUGGUGGUGGGACCUCCUUCCCUAGCUCUUGAGGGCCAGCUCGUUAGCCCAAGUGCCUGUCUCCCCUCUCUCCUUCCCCUGCUCUCUCCACUUUGUCCACCUGAAGUUGGGCGUUGGCCCUAAGUCAGUCCAGUCUGUGGACUAGCCUGGGGUGAGGUGGGUGGCCCCUGUCCUCCUUCUCAGCCACUUGCCACCUGUUCCCACCGUGGUCGGCUUCCUCGCCUCUUCCUGCCUUUUCACCCUCUCCACCCGUCUCAGGCCUGGCAGCAGCUCUGUGGUGCAUCACCUCAGUGCCACCAAGUUUAAGUUUGUCCAAGUUCCAGAAGUUUCCAAACCUUAAAAUAGCAGUCCGUUACUCGCUUCUCCAGUCUGAAAGGAGAGCCUGUUGGAGGGAGAGUCUGGGCCUGGUGCCCCCUAAAUGAGUGGAGUCAGCAGACAGAUCAUGCAUAGUGCCUUAUUCCAUUGUCUUCCCUGGCCAGACCCGCUCCCCUGGAGUCUGUGUCUUCUUCCUGCUCGUUUGUGUCCAUCUGUCUCUUACACUCUCCCUCCCAUUCACCCACAGCCGCAUGGGCUUCCCCUCUGCCCUUCCCCCCGCCCCCUCCUUCCCCCAUCCCUUCCUGGAGCUGCAGCCAGGUACACACCUCCCGCCCACACCAGGGCGAUCUCUAGCAGCUUUAGCUGAGGAUGGAAAACGCUUUAGGCAGGUGCGCUCUGCCUCUUACUACCCAGCAGUGCCUGCCUCUUACCUCUAGCCAGGAGGAUGCCACGAUUGUUCAAACAAGACCGGCUCCAUCUGACCCCCUCUGGGCCCUGGGGACUAAGCCGCAGGCCUCAGCCUCAUCUCCUCCGGAGGCACUGGGAGGACGGGACCUCUCCUCCCGCCCGGAUGUGGUUGCCCCUCAUGGCUGCCUUUCUGAGGGCGUGUACAUGUUUACUUGAGAAAUACCCUGUUUACAGCCAGAGGAGAAUGGUGCCCAACACUAGGUGGAGAGUGACUCGGGACAGCCUGCCCUCUAUGGCACUGUGGGCGGUGGCCCCAGCGUGAACGAAGGCAGAGGUGCCAGGGGCUGGGGCGCUCCCUGCACUCCCUCUACUCCCCGACCCUGCGGUGCUACAACCACUGGCCACCUUCCUCAGCCUCCUGGCCCCAGACCUUCCCCACCUGCAUUCCUUCCUCCACCUCCAAGGUCCUCAGCUCCUUAACAUAUCAGUUGCCUCCUAGAGAACCAGUGUGUGGAGCAAUAAGAUUUUUUUUUUUUUUUUUUUUGCUUGAGUCUUUUUAUAAGAAAAGGAAAAGAGUUGACAUUGUGGGACUCUCCUCUUUAUGCUGUUGACUGUUUGCCUUCUUAGAAGACGGAUGGACAUCUGGGUUCUGACUUUGGGGUAUCUUGGAAGCUUGGAAAAGCAAGUCAGGCUUUUGCCCCUAAGAAGGGGAUCCUGACUGCCCUCACCAUGCUCCAUGCCACCUGGGCUUCCAGCCCCUCCCUCCCAGUGCGCCUCCCACCCUUGAUCCUGCUGGUGCCCCCACACACAUCUGGGGCACUGGUGGCCUGACUCUAAGGGGGCUCUUGGGUUAUUGCCUCCCAUGGCCCUUUCCCCUUCUAGGUCUGUCUGGUGGCCCCCAGAUAGGCAGCUGCUGAGUCUCCUAGGAGGGCAAUAGCCAAACUUGAACUAUUCAGUUCUGCCCGCCGGGCUUGGGGCUGAGGCCCAGAGACACUGCCUCGGCCGUCGUCCCACACUGGGCUGAGCCACAGCCUUCGGGAUAACACAGGCCCAUCUCUGAUCCUGUCCACCUGAGCAUGGAGAGGUGCCUCGGGAGGGGAAGCAGGAGGUGUGGUGUGAGGGUGGACUGUCCCUGGCUGCCUGGAGCGCCCCUAGGAUUGCAGGGGUCACCGGAGGGAGGCCACAGGAGGAAGGGAGUUUAUUUAGGGACAUUUUAAAGGCCGCGUUCAUGCCCCAGGGCCUCUCCAUCAGAGCAGGGGAGUAUGUUGUGAUGAUUUAACAGUUGUGUGGGGCCAUUUCAGUGAGGGAAGAUUUAACCCAGGCUCAAAGUUUGUUUCAAAUACUAGUUAAUAAGCCUAUUUUCCUUAUUUUCUUUUUUUGCACAGAAGCUGGUAAUCUAGGACCUACGUGUGAACAACUUUAUAUGAGUAUUUUUUGUACUUGGUUUACUUGGGUUGGUAUGAUACAUGAUAUUUAAGUUCCUUGAACACUGUGGAGCCCCAAUGUGUAUGAAUGACUGAGGCUUUGUAAAUUAAGGGACGUUUGUGUGAAUAAAGUUAUUUGAUGGGGUCAAAGAAGCCAUAUGUGA
Molecule: RNA transcript, 6552 nt
Organism: Myotis myotis
Lineage: Eukaryota; Metazoa; Chordata; Mammalia; Chiroptera; Vespertilionidae
Gene: STK35
Gene name: serine/threonine kinase 35
Exons: 5
Source: RefSeq, a predicted model, not a curated record